RNAcentral lists this small RNA (575 nucleotides) under Pongo abelii (Sumatran orangutan). Its description in RNAcentral is "retained intron". The record is from RNAcentral. Lineage: Eukaryota; Metazoa; Chordata; Mammalia; Primates; Hominidae.
AUGCUCUUGCAACCACUCCAGGCACGACUGGCACCCUUCUGCAGAAGUUAAGAAAUCUCCAAAACAGUUGGCUGCUUACAUAAAUAGAACAGUUGGACAAACUGUGAAAAGCCCAGAUAAACUUCGUAAAGUGAUCUAUCGCAGAAAGAAAGUUCAUCAUCCCUUUCCAAAUCCUUGUUACAGAAAAAAACAGUCCCCUGGAAGUGGGGGCUGUGACAUGGCAAAUAAAGAAAAUGAACUGGCUUGUGCAGGCCACCUGCCUGAAAAAUUACACCAUGAUAGUCGAACAUAUUUGGUUAACUCCAGUGAUUCUGGUUCUUCACAGACAGAAAGCCCAUCAUCAAAAUAUAGUGGGUUUUUUUCCGAGGUUUCUCAGGACCAUGAAACAAUGGCCCAAAUUUUGUUCAGCAGGAAUAUGAGAUUGAAUGUAGCUUUAACUUUCUGGAGAAAGAGAAGUAUAAGUGAACUUGUAGCUUAUUUGUUGAGGUAAGUGUGACCUUUUAUCCUCUUUGUUCAAUCACUUUUUUUCUGAGACAAGGUCUUGCUUUGUCAUCCAGGUUGGAGUACAGUGGCGC